Molecule: ribosomal RNA, 279 nt
Filed under: uncultured bacterium
Lineage: Bacteria
Description: partial 16S ribosomal RNA
Rfam family: Bacterial small subunit ribosomal RNA
Source: RNAcentral
UGCCAGCCGCCGCGGUAAUACGUAGGGAGCAAGCGUUGUCCGGAUUUACUGGGUGUAAAGGGAGCGCAGGCGGGUUGGUAAGUCAGAGGUGAAAUCUCACAGCUUGACUGUGAAACUGCCUUUGAUACUGCUAAUCUUGAGUUAAGGAGAGAGAGACGGAAUUCCAGGUGUAGUGGUGAAAUACGUAGAUAUCUGGAAGAACACCAGUGGCGAAGGCGGUCUCUUGGCCUUAUACUGACGCUGAGGCUCGAAAGCGUGGGGAGCGAACAGGAUUAGAUA